Gossypium raimondii (Peruvian cotton) is the source of this 3190-nucleotide long non-coding RNA. RefSeq lists it as uncharacterized. Lineage: Eukaryota; Viridiplantae; Streptophyta; Magnoliopsida; Malvales; Malvaceae. The record is from RefSeq and is a predicted model, not a curated record. The transcript is spliced from 4 exons.
GACAAAAGCAAAACAGCUGUAAGCAACCAAAAGACAAAGCGUAAAACUUUUCAAAACUAAAAAGCAGAAAAAGAAAACCUUGAGCCAAAACCAGCAGAACUCCAGCCCCAAUAUCAGCCAAACUCUCCUUACCCUUUGAAUUCCGAACCAUGUACAAUGAGAGAAAAAACUUUGGAUGAUCGUCUUCCAUUUCCAAAGUAAAUGAACUCAGCUCCUCUGGAACCAAGCCGAACAAUCCUUCAAUAUCGCCAUUCCGAAUCAGGCACUCCAUGGACCCAACUCCCUCAGACCUUUCGUUUCCUGCCCUACAUCGCCAGUGUGUAAGCCGCCUCAUUAGCCACUCAGGGGACAGCAAGGAAUCGCCUUCCACAAUCAAUCGUCGAAGGCACAUCUUGCUCGCAAAAAUUAAUGCCCUUUCACAAGCCCUUGCUUUAGCCACGAACGCGUCAACGAUAUCUUUAAAAAGAUAAGUUUCUGCUCCUAUAAUUUCACCUGUAGCAUUUCUGGCAAGAACUGCUAUUGUAGCGGUCUUCUCAUUUUUUACAAAAGAUGCGUCAAAAUUUAAUUUGAUAACUCCCUGGUCUGGGGGUCUCCAGAUCCCUUUAACCAUAGCUCUAGGAGCAGGAUAGAGUAGCAUGUGACAACGGCAAAUAUCUUGUUCAUAACCCCCAAUAAACCCUAACACCGCCUGCAUCGAAAAUUUAACUCCUUCAUGAACCAGUUUAUUUCUAUGAAACCAAAGGUUCCACAUGGAUAUUACAAUGAAUCUUUUUUGUUGGUCGUCUGCUGCAGAAAACAUAUUAGCAAAGCGAAGCUUGUUACGCAUCGACUCUUCGAAAGACGGGAUCUUUACUGGUAGCGACGCCCAUACCUGUUGCAGAGUAUCAUAAGACCACAUCAGGUGAUCAGAAUCUUCCAGCCCAUUCUUGCACAGUGGACAAGAUGCUUCCACACAAAGUCCUCCUCGCCAAAUUACCGAAAUGCGGCACCAGAUUAUUAACUAGUCUCCAAAUAAGUAUUUUAUUUUUUUCUGGAAUACUUAAUAACCAUAAAGCAUUGUAAAAAUCUGUGUAAACCACGUCAAUAGGGGCAUGUAAUUAGUAACCCGUAAGUGAUCUGCAAUCAGUACUCGAUACCCACUCUUGACCGUAUACUCCCUAGAACCUUUAUGUUUCCAGACCAACCUAUCCUCCGGUCUACUUUCAGAUAUGGGAAUAGCAAGUAUUCGAUCCGCUGUACUCUCAUCAACUAUCUUAUGAAUCAUCUCUCUAUUCCAGGUAGCCAAGGAUUGUUCCAGAUGUUAAUGUGGUCUCCCUUGCCAACCCGCCACAAAACCCCUUAUCCGAUCACCUCACGAGCACUGCAAAUACUUCUCCAGGUAAAUGAUGGGGCUGAUGAUUUGUAAAUUCUCUUUAUGAGAAUCAGUUUGUUAAUACUACAAUGGCCAAGCAUAGCUAUGAGAUCUGAGGGCUUUAUUAAUCAUUUAGACUUCGUCAUGCCAUUAUUGCUUUCUUUAGACAUGAUUUGCAUCCUGAUCAUACUCGUUUUCCCCUUAAUUUAAUUCAUAAUCAAGUAAUUACCAGUUUUCCUACAUGAGAAUUUUUAGGCUGCUGAUUUUGUUCUUUAGUGACUAUAUGGUUUGUAUGAUUAGUAAUAUUGUUUCACAUCGUGAUGGUUUGUAGCUUCAUUAAUCUAUGAAUUUGGUCAAUAUCUCUGAUAUAUCCUAUUUGUAAUGUAUGAAUCUUCCUCUUCUCGAAUUGAUGUUUUGGGAGCAUUAAACAUUUAGUUAAUUUGACAAAUUCUUGUGAACUUUUUCUUGUUUAACCUCUAUGUGUUUGUUAUCCGAUAGUACUUAAAGUAUCCCAUAUGCUAAUCCUUAGUGAAUCACUUAGGGUCAUUUGAAGCUUGAACCUAGCUAGUCAAUUGUAUCAGGAUACCACUUGUGAAGUAUAUGCUUAAUGAAUUCGAGAAGCUCUAGAAUAUGCUUGUUGAUGGAAGUUGUUGAUAUGGUAGUUCUUUUGUUUUUUAUGUUUCAUUUAAUUUGUGAAGACUUAGACUAAUAUUUUUGAAAACCACGAGCUUAGCUGUCAUUAAAUUAUGAUACUGAUGAAAUCCUAGUCUAUUAUGUUUCCUUUGAAUUUAAAUCUUCCAUUUAAGUUGUUUACUUUCUCAGUAGUCUUUACAUAUUUUUUUAGUUGUUUUAAGUCUGGUCUCACUUGCCCUGAGAUUAUUUGCUCAUUUUCCUGCACUGCCCGAUGAUGGAUGCUUUUGUGUACUUAGAGUUUGCUAUGGCAUUGUUGUUGACCUCCAUCCUUACUGCUAGUCAUCAUUGGUUUUGGCGCUUCUUCUUUGUCUUCUUCUUCUUCAUCAUCAUCAUCUUCUUCUUCUUCUUCUUCUUCUUGUUGCUGUUGUUGUUGCUGCUGCCAUUCCCAUUUCCAUUCCCAUUGCUAAUUAUCAUCUGUGGCCUUAUAGACUAUUGGUGGCGGUAGUAGUAGUGGAUGUAGAAAGGUCUUCAAUAAAAUUCCAUAGCAUCACCAUUGAUGAAUUGGUAGAAUCAUUGUGUUUUGACCUCUGAGGGCAUUGCAGGUUAUUUCAUCACAUUGACUCUUCGAAAGUCUAGUGUUUUGCUGAGUUAGUGACAUGUCUCAUUGCAACUUGCUAGGGUGGAUAUACUGCUUAGUUUUGUGCAAAGAGUUGGAUAUUUACCAAUUUAUCUUUACUUAUUACUAAAUCCUUAUGUCCACUAUUGUCAGCCUAAUUGAUGAAUUCAUGCUUAUUUUGUUGGACCGCCCCAAUCCUUUAUGAAAGUAUGGCUUCUAUAGGACUAAAGCCAUUUGCUACCCAGGAGAAGGCUGAAGCACCCAUUGGUUUUUUUUUGGCUAGAGAAGUGAGAACCAACCAAGAAUUGAAUUUUGGUCUUGUGUGCUCCUGCUUUGCUCAUUUAUAUAUUUGUUUUUGUUUAAAGCCUUUUGUGCUCCCAUGUACAAUGUUUAAUCCUUUCAAGUCUAAGAGAAAUCUAUAGUGUAAUGUUAUAAUAGCACAGGGUACGUAUAUGAACGAUAUGAACCCUGCAUUGUCAUUACUACUUGUCGGGGGUUAUCAUCCUUAGAAUUUUCAAACCUCCAUGUGGCUUUAAGCUUGUAAUUGGCAAUGGCGCUGAAAGUUUUUAAAUAUCGCAGUUUGAGAUAAA